Molecule: long non-coding RNA, 321 nt
Filed under: Oryctolagus cuniculus (rabbit)
Lineage: Eukaryota; Metazoa; Chordata; Mammalia; Lagomorpha; Leporidae
Description: lncRNA (ENSOCUG00000032456.1)
Source: RNAcentral
CGAGAUAAGUCUUCUAUCAAGAAGUUUCAGUCAGGGCCAUUUUGAUUAAUGAACAUCUCAGAGAAAAUAUUUUUGACUGUCCUAAAUCAGAAGACACUGGUGCAUUCAAUAAUUCCUCCACAUCAGACACCUCACUCCAAGUCGGCUAUAAAGGUAAGCUGAUUCUAAAAACAUAAAUAGGAGUUAGAGGAUCUCUUAAAGAACUGUUCCUUUUAUCCUGACAAUAACCACAAACACAAUAAUAUAGCCUUCCCUUCAGUUUUUAGUCACGGCUGUGACAGGCAUACAGUCUGCAUUAUAUUUAGAUAAAUGUUACCUUUC